RNAcentral lists this transfer RNA (63 nucleotides) under Pseudunio homsensis. Its description in RNAcentral is "Margaritifera homsensis tRNA-Trp". The record is from RNAcentral. Lineage: Eukaryota; Metazoa; Mollusca; Bivalvia; Unionida; Margaritiferidae.
AGUGAUUUAAGUUAAAAAAACUAAUAGCCUUCAAAGCUUUUUUUGGCAAACAGCCAAUCCCUA